CUUAAUUUUACGUCCCCAUCAUACCCAUAGGUUGUUCCGUUUGCAACCCCUCCAGGAGAAUUAUCAUGCGUCUCCUACUGCCUCUUCCUCACCCUCCGUCUCGCCGCAUCUUUUCUUUGGGAUGUCAAUGACGUUGGUGCUCCAUCCAAGUUUGAGUUGUUAAAGAAUUGGCCAGCCGACGGAGAGAACAGCACGUACUGGGUGAUACAAUCAUACUCAUUCUGGGCAACGGCCGUGACAAUCGAUUCAGAUCUAUGAGGUGUACGUGCAUGCUAAAUUGAUCCGGCUGAUUUUGACGAAGACUUGAAGACCAUGUGCUGUGUGACGAGCUCAACACAGCCUGCGGAUAGAGCAGCCAUGAGUAGAUAAAUUGGGAGGAUAUAACUGAACAGGGAAGAAGCGCUUUGAGAUUUGGGAGGACUCUUAUUCUGGGAAGAGUCUAAUUAGAAGGAGAAAAAGACCCGGUCUCAUAGGAUUAUUUACCUACGAUUUUCUGCAAUCAUGCCAUCAGUGAACUACGUCUCUGAUUGAUUCCUGUCAAGACUGCAAGUCGAAAGAAUUGGAUGUGGCUCCCUAUGGCAUCUACGUAUCAUGUAGGCCGUCUACCUCCUCGAUCUACACCAUUGGACAACGGCCAAAGUUUGAGGCCAUCCGGGACAACCGUUGAAGAAUUGGAUGUCACUUGGUAAGCAAUGUGCUAUUCUCUUUCAUGUCAGAUUCAAGAGUUACUGAACCACUAUCAAUUGAUGGGUCACCCGCUGAGACCACCCAUGGUGACGGAGCAAUUGAUCUUUUAUGGUGACGGAGUCAUUACGACCGUGUGAGCCGUACUCACCUUGGCCUCUUCCCCUGGAAGAAAAAAGGAUAGAGAAUUUGAGCGUGGUCUCCUCCUAACCAUCCCAAGUUGUUGGAUGCCUGAUCUUACGUGGUUUCUCUUUAUUUUACGCACAUGCCUUCGCUCCUUCAUAGCUGCGUCCGCUGAGCAUUGUCGAGCCGCACAAGAUCUCCAGGUUCCAAAGCCCUAGCAUCUCGCUUAUUUCUCCUGCUUUGUUGUACCGCUGCACCAAUCCUUUCUAAGCGCCCACGCCAUCAGGCAUCAAGCCUCUUUAUGCGCUGGCGGCCAGAUGCAGUCACCUUUCAGACCACAUGACACCUCACCGUCACGGCCGAUGCCUAUGAACUAGAAUAUACGUGUGGUCAUCCUCAAGCUUCUUAAAUCGCAGAGGUAAUUGGUGUUACAUAUAUGGAGUUCAUGGGUACGCAGUCUUAAUUGAUGCAGAGUCAGAUCUUGCUGAUAAAUAGAUGAAGAAAAUAGAUGCAUACAUAGAUGGUUGGAUUCUCAAGUAUGAAUACAGAGAUAAAUGAUAUAUUGCGCCCUGCCCACCGAACGUAUGAAGCCACACAUGCCUUCACGUGUCUCUAAUCUCCGAACCAGACAUCACACAGAUUCUUCAUGAUUUCGGAUGUUCACUACUUGCAGGAAAAGGUGUUGGAAGGCUGGGGUAGUUGAACGUCAAUAUAGGUCACAACAGGUGUACAACAUGAUCAGCGGACUUACAAGUUCAUUCAUAUAAGCUAACAUCAAUUGGAUCUUCCCUCAGAAAAAAUCUGCGGGGGCUAUCUUGCAGUCUGGCUUCAUCCCAUGUCGCCAAAAGUGCCAGUUCUGGGUGAAAUUUCUGCUUCAUACUUCUAGAAGCAUGCUGAUAGUUCAAUCGAUGUUUUGUAGCAUCUCCAGAUUAUAAUAUGGUUGUCUGUGACCCAAAAAAUACUGCAAAGCAGACAUAACUUCUGUUGUACCUUAGCACAAAGAAAAUUAGUCGUUGAAAAUACAUAUUUGCUUUCCUCAAGACAAAUGUAAUUCUUUUGUACUGGAAGAACUCUAGAUUAGAUGCGUGAUACCAAUUUCACCUUCGGUAUGGUCAUAUAUUUUAAGAUAUGCUUUUGGCUGUCCAACAACACUUACUUUUACCAUCUGUGUUUGAUGAAAGACACAGGAAAA
Molecule: long non-coding RNA, 1999 nt
Organism: Triticum aestivum (bread wheat)
Lineage: Eukaryota; Viridiplantae; Streptophyta; Magnoliopsida; Poales; Poaceae
Exons: 4
Source: RefSeq, a predicted model, not a curated record